AUACGGAGGGUGCAAGCGUUAUCCGGAUUUAUUGGGUUUAAAGGGUCCGUAGGCGGAUCUGUAAGUCAGUGGUGAAAUCUCAUAGCUUAACUAUGAAACUGCCAUUGAUACUGCAGGUCUUGAGUAAGGUAGAAGUAGCUGGAAUAAGUAGUGUAGCGGUGAAAUGCAUAGAUAUUACUUAGAACACCAAUUGCGAAGGCAGGUUACUAUGUCUUAACUGACGCUGAUGGACGAAAGCGUGGGGAGCGAACAGGAUUAGAAACCCCAGUAGUCC
This 274-nucleotide ribosomal RNA is filed under the name uncultured bacterium. RNAcentral describes it as "partial 16S ribosomal RNA". It matches the Rfam family "Bacterial small subunit ribosomal RNA", at positions 523 to 796 of the family's 1533-position model. The record is from RNAcentral.